AUGCAGAGACAAGUUGGCUCUGCAGUGAUCAGCGAGAUCACAACCAGGGCCAUCUCCAAGGUAAUUGGAAUGAUCAACAAGCAGACGGCUAUCGAUGACAAGCUGCGCAAGCUGGACAUGCUGUGCACAAAGAUCAACAGUGCAGUUGAAGCAUCUAAGAAUGCUGCCAAGAUGCUGCUCUCAACCAACAAGGAUGUGCAGAAGUUAAACAGCACAGUGGAAAUGUUGGAGAAGCUAUCGGCAGAUAAUGAGGAGUUCUCAGGAUUGGUUGAGCUUCAGGUUUUGACAGUAGACGAGCAUGGUCCUGCAAAAAGGAAGAAACUGGAGAUGUUGGAGAAGCCAUCGGCAGAUAAUGAGUUCUUGAGAUCGGUUGAGCUUGCAAAAGAGAAGAAACAAGAGGUGUUGGAGAAGCUAUCGGCAGAUAAUCAGUUCACGAGAUCCGUUAAACUUGAGGUUUUGAACGGGGAGAAGAAUCAUUCAGUGCGAUUAAAACAAUGGUGA
This 501-nucleotide ribosomal RNA is filed under the name Triticum aestivum (bread wheat). Its description in RNAcentral is "partial small subunit ribosomal RNA". The record is from RNAcentral. Lineage: Eukaryota; Viridiplantae; Streptophyta; Magnoliopsida; Poales; Poaceae.